AUUGAACGCUGGCGGCAGGCCUAACACAUGCAAGUCGAGCGGUAGAGAGAAGCUUGCUUCUCUUGAGAGCGGCGGACGGGUGAGUAAUGCCUAGGAAUCUGCCUAGUGGUGGGGGAUAACGUUCGGAAACGGAUGAAAGCAGGGGACCGCAAGGCCUUGCGCUCAUGGAGCGGCCGAUGGCAGAUUAGGUAGUUGGUGGGAUAAAAGCUUACCAAGCCGACGAUCUGUAGCUGGUCUGAGAGGACGACCAGCCACACUGGGACUGAGACACGGCCCAGACUCCUACGGGAGGCAGCAGUGGGGAAUUUUGGACAAUGGGCGAAAGCCUGAUCCAGCCAUGCCGCGUGCAGGAUGAAGGCCUUCGGGUUGUAAACUGCUUUGUACGGUAACGAAAAGACUCUGGUUAAUACCUGGGGUCCAUGACGGUACCGUAAGAAUAAGCACCGGCCAACUACGUG
This 458-nucleotide ribosomal RNA is filed under the name uncultured bacterium. RNAcentral's name for it is "bacterial SSU rRNA". It matches the Rfam family "Bacterial small subunit ribosomal RNA", at positions 30 to 507 of the family's 1533-position model. The record is from RNAcentral.